This 477-nucleotide ribosomal RNA is filed under the name uncultured bacterium. RNAcentral's name for it is "partial 16S ribosomal RNA". It matches the Rfam family "Bacterial small subunit ribosomal RNA", at positions 29 to 507 of the family's 1533-position model. The record is from RNAcentral.
AUUGAACGCUGGCGGCAUGCCUUACACAUGCAAGUCGAACGGUAACAGGUUAAGCUGACGAGUGGCGAACGGGAGAGUAAUGUAUCGGAACGUGGCCAGUCGUGGGGGAUAACUGCUCGAAAGAGCAGCUAAUACCGCAUACGACCUGAGGGGGAAAGCGGGGGAUCGCAAGGCCUCGCGCGAUUGGAUCGGCCGAUACCAGAUUCGGUAGUUGGGGAGGUAAAGGCUUACCAAGCCGAGAAUCGGUAGCUGGUCUGAGCGGAGGACCAGCCACACUGGGACUGAGACACGGCCCAGACUCCUACGGGAGGCAGCAGUGGGGAAUUGUGGACAAUGGGCGCAAGCCUGAUCCAGCCAUGCCGCGUGCGGGAAGAAGGCCUUCGGGUUGUAAACCGCUUUUGUCAGGGAAGAAAAGGUUCUGGCUAAUACCUGGGACUCAUGACGGUACCUGAAGAAUAAGCACCGGCUAACUACGUG